RNAcentral lists this ribosomal RNA (253 nucleotides) under uncultured bacterium. Its description in RNAcentral is "partial 16S ribosomal RNA". It matches the Rfam family "Bacterial small subunit ribosomal RNA", at positions 524 to 776 of the family's 1533-position model. The record is from RNAcentral.
UACGGAGGGUGCAAGCGUUAAUCGGAAUUACUGGGCGUAAAGCGUGCGCAGGCGGUUUGUUAAGUCCGCUGUGAAAUCCCCGAGCUCAACUUGGGAAUUGCAGUGGAUACUGGCAAGCUGGAGUAUGGUAGAGGAAGGUGGAAUUCCCGGUGUAGCAGUGAAAUGCGUAGAGAUCGGGAGGGACACCAGUGGCGAAGGCGGCCUUCUGGACCAAUACUGACGCUCAUGCACGAAAGCGUGGGGAGCAAACAGG